GGGUUGUGAGGUUAAGCGACUAAGCGUACACGGUGGAUGCCCUGGCAGUCAGAGGCGAUGAAGGACGUGCUAAUCUGCGAUAAGCGUCGGUAAGGUGAUAUGAACCGUUAUAACCGGCGAUUUCCGAAUGGGGAAACCCAGUGUGUUUCGACACACUAUCAUUAACUGAAUCCAUAGGUUAAUGAGGCGAACCGGGGGAACUGAAACAUCUAAGUACCCCGAGGAAAAGAAAUCAACCGAGAUUCCCCCAGUAGCGGCGAGCGAACGGGGAGCAGCCCAGAGCCUGAAUCAGUGUGUGUGUUAGUGGAAGCGUCUGGAAAGGCGCGCGAUACAGGGUGACAGCCCCGUACACAAAAAUGCACAUGCUGUGAGCUCGAUGAGUAGGGCGGGACACGUGGUAUCCUGUCUGAAUAUGGGGGGACCAUCCUCCAAGGCUAAAUACUCCUGACUGACCGAUAGUGAACCAGUACCGUGAGGGAAAGGCGAAAAGAACCCCGGCGAGGGGAGUGAAAAAGAACCUGAAACCGUGUACGUACAAGCAGUGGGAGCACGCUUCGGCGUGUGACUGCGUACCUUUUGUAUAAUGGGUCAGCGACUUAUAUUCUGUAGCAAGGUUAACCGAAUAGGGGAGCCGAAGGGAAACCGAGUCUUAACUGGGCGUUAAGUUGCAGGGUAUAGACCCGAAACCCGGUGAUCUAGCCAUGGGCAGGUUGAAGGUUGGGUAACACUAACUGGAGGACCGAACCGACUAAUGUUGAAAAAUUAGCGGAUGACUUGUGGCUGGGGGUGAAAGGCCAAUCAAACCGGGAGAUAGCUGGUUCUCCCCGAAAGCUAUUUAGGUAGCGCCUCGUGAAUUCAUCUCCGGGGGUAGAGCACUGUUUCGGCAAGGGGGUCAUCCCGACUUACCAACCCGAUGCAAACUGCGAAUACCGGAGAAUGUUAUCACGGGAGACACACGGCGGGUGCUAACGUCCGUCGUGAAGAGGGAAACAACCCAGACCGCCAGCUAAGGUCCCAAAGUCAUGGUUAAGUGGGAAACGAUGUGGGAAGGCCCAGACAGCCAGGAUGUUGGCUUAGAAGCAGCCAUCAUUUAAAGAAAGCGUAAUAGCUCACUGGUCGAGUCGGCCUGCGCGGAAGAUGUAACGGGGCUAAACCAUGCACCGAAGCUGCGGCAGCGACGCUGAUGCGUUGUUGGGUAGGGGAGCGUUCUGUAAGCCUGCGAAGGUGUGCUGUGAGGCAUGCUGGAGGUAUCAGAAGUGCGAAUGCUGACAUAAGUAACGAUAAAGCGGGUGAAAAGCCCGCUCGCCGGAAGACCAAGGGUUCCUGUCCAACGUUAAUCGGGGCAGGGUGAGUCGACCCCUAAGGCGAGGCCGAAAGGCGUAGUCGAUGGGAAACAGGUUAAUAUUCCUGUACUUGGUGUUACUGCGAAGGGGGGACGGAGAAGGCUAUGUUGGCCGGGCGACGGUUGUCCCGGUUUAAGCGUGUAGGCUGGUUUUCCAGGCAAAUCCGGAAAAUCAAGGCUGAGGCGUGAUGACGAGGCACUACGGUGCUGAAGCAACAAAUGCCCUGCUUCCAGGAAAAGCCUCUAAGCAUCAGGUAACAUCAAAUCGUACCCCAAACCGACACAGGUGGUCAGGUAGAGAAUACCAAGGCGCUUGAGAGAACUCGGGUGAAGGAACUAGGCAAAAUGGUGCCGUAACUUCGGGAGAAGGCACGCUGAUAUGUAGGUGAGGUCCCUCGCGGAUGGAGCUGAAAUCAGUCGAAGAUACCAGCUGGCUGCAACUGUUUAUUAAAAACACAGCACUGUGCAAACACGAAAGUGGACGUAUACGGUGUGACGCCUGCCCGGUGCCGGAAGGUUAAUUGAUGGGGUCAGCGCAAGCGAAGCUCUUGAUCGAAGCCCCGGUAAACGGCGGCCGUAACUAUAACGGUCCUAAGGUAGCGAAAUUCCUUGUCGGGUAAGUUCCGACCUGCACGAAUGGCGUAAUGAUGGCCAGGCUGUCUCCACCCGAGACUCAGUGAAAUUGAACUCGCUGUGAAGAUGCAGUGUACCCGCGGCAAGACGGAAAGACCCCGUGAACCUUUACUAUAGCUUGACACUGAACAUUGAGCCUUGAUGUGUAGGAUAGGUGGGAGGCUUGGAAGUGUGGACGCCAGUCUGCAUGGAGCCGACCUUGAAAUACCACCCUUUAAUGUUUGAUGUUCUAACGUUGACCCGUAAUCCGGGUUGCGGACAGUGUCUGGUGGGUAGUUUGACUGGGGCGGUCUCCUCCUAAAGAGUAACGGAGGAGCACGAAGGUUGGCUAAUCCUGGUCGGACAUCAGGAGGUUAGUGCAAUGGCAUAAGCCAGCUUGACUGCGAGCGUGACGGCGCGAGCAGGUGCGAAAGCAGGUCAUAGUGAUCCGGUGGUUCUGAAUGGAAGGGCCAUCGCUCAACGGAUAAAAGGUACUCCGGGGAUAACAGGCUGAUACCGCCCAAGAGUUCAUAUCGACGGCGGUGUUUGGCACCUCGAUGUCGGCUCAUCACAUCCUGGGGCUGAAGUAGGUCCCAAGGGUAUGGCUGUUCGCCAUUUAAAGUGGUACGCGAGCUGGGUUUAGAACGUCGUGAGACAGUUCGGUCCCUAUCUGCCGUGGGCGCUGGAGAACUGAGGGGGGCUGCUCCUAGUACGAGAGGACCGGAGUGGACGCAUCACUGGUGUUCGGGUUGUCAUGCCAAUGGCACUGCCCGGUAGCUAAAUGCGGAAGAGAUAAGUGCUGAAAGCAUCUAAGCACGAAACUUGCCCUGAGAUGAGUUCUCCCUGACUCCUUGAGAGUCCUGAAGGAACGUUGAAGACGACGACGUUGAUAGGCCGGGUGUGUAAGCGCAGCGAUGCGUUGAGCUAACCGGUACUAAUGAACCGUGAGGCUUAACCUUACAACGCCGAAGGUGUUU
Molecule: ribosomal RNA, 2931 nt
Filed under: Escherichia coli
Lineage: Bacteria; Pseudomonadati; Pseudomonadota; Gammaproteobacteria; Enterobacterales; Enterobacteriaceae
Description: 23S ribosomal RNA
Rfam family: Bacterial large subunit ribosomal RNA
Source: RNAcentral